UGUCCCCACUGUCUCAAGUACUCUCAGGAUCCAUGGUCUUGGCCUGGCUCCCACAGUAUUCCCUUGUGGAUAAACCUGGGCUGCAAAACUCAGGAGUGACAGACAAUGUACCAGCUGUCAGAUGGAGAAAGGCAAGAAAUUUUGGCAUCACCAUUCAUGGCACCUUGACUGCAAAGGCCCCCAAAAUAGCACACUAGAAUCAAAACAAAUCUGAGAGAGCAGCAGGUGGCUCCCACUGCAUACAGUGCUAGAUGUGUAAAUGAAGUGGAUGGUUUUAUGAGCCCAAACAACAAUAAGAUUAUCUAGAAUGAAGAUUUUAUUUUGAGGUCCUAAUAACAUGAAUAACUAAUGAAGAAAAUGACAUUUUUAUUACUUUUGAAUAUCUUCCAAAAGGAGAAAAACAAAAGAAAAUAGAGCCAGCCCUAUUUGCAAAUCAGCC
RNAcentral lists this long non-coding RNA (439 nucleotides) under Ornithorhynchus anatinus (platypus). RNAcentral describes it as "lncRNA (ENSOANG00000045355.1)". Lineage: Eukaryota; Metazoa; Chordata; Mammalia; Monotremata; Ornithorhynchidae. The record is from RNAcentral.